CCUGAGACUAUUGUUAUGACUGCCCAGUAUCCAAACACCCUUCUUACUGGGGGACAACCCCAAAUUAGGUAGAGCACAGGAGCCAGCCUCCUGCUCCAGAGGCUCCAGCCACCCAGGACAUGCACAUGUACCGGAGCUUAGCCAAGCAGAGCCAUAGACAUGAAGAGAGAGGGAGAGGUAUAUCUUUCUAAGGUGGCCUCAGUAGUAGCGAUGAACCUGGAGCAACACGUCCUCUGGCAUCUUAUGGUGGUGUUCGGUCGUCAGUUGGUUCUGGAACCAAAGCCCGGCUGUGCUCUCACUGUGCAUCCUUGUUUCUGCCCACUCUUGGCACCUCCCCACAGGUUCUCAUUAAAGCUGUCCUUGAUCUCCACAACUUCCUGCCGACUGCUGCUAAGAAAUCUGACUCCCGGAGCUCUGUCAAGGGCAGGAUGUUAAUGCAAGAACCACCCCUGCUCUUGAGGGCCUUCCCAGUUUCCUUCAGGAUUUAAGGUACCUCUUGUCAUAGGUAUCCUUCACUAGAUGAUUAUAGAAGAUAUUUAACCAGUGGUUCUCUUUGAAUUUCAAAGGAGCAUCACUGCGUCCUGUCGGGGUAAUCAGGGAUGAAUUCUCGAAGAGCACUGAUUUGAUUUUUUUUUUCUUUUUAUGAAUGACUUUUAAUUAAAAAUUUUUUUUUCAUUUAAAAAAUUACUGUUUAUUAAGUGGUUCCUAUAGAAAUAACUUCUUUUCAAGGUCACUUUUUUAAAGGUGGAAAUGGGCAGGACAGAGGCAUUGCAGAAGAGGGGGGAGAAUGGGGAUAAGUAUAUGGGAGAUUCCAAUAAUAUUCAUUGAGAAAGAAAAUCCUUUGGAGUAAGAGGAAAAGAGUAAUUUGGAGCUACCUAGUGGAGGUCCUUGAAUAGAGAACAGAGUUUUGUUCCGGGGGAGUAUAGGGCAGGAAUCCCUAGUUUCUUUUCUGUCCUUGAAUCUUCCUGUAGGAAUUGCUUCUCUGCUUUUCAGUGGAUGGGCCUAGUUCAUGGAAAACUAGAGAACUUGCUGUUGGAUUCUCUUCCUUCCUCCUUCACCUCUAUUGAUAAACUCUGAUAACUUCCUUUCCGUCAGGUGAAGGAGUUGGGCUUGCUCAUUCCUAACGGAUGACUUUUCUCCAUGCUUUAGUCCCUGCAUUUGUCAUUUUGGUGGGAAGCCUGUCUCAUUUGGCAUGGGUUUUGUAGGUUUAUAGGCUACAGUUUGCUGAGCUCCCUUGCUAAUAUGAAAAAUCACAUUUCUGCCUUUAUUUCUUUGGGUUGCUUGAAUUUUUAAAAUUGGGCAAGUUUUUAAAAAUUAUUUAUUUAUUAAAAAAAUUUUUUUUGGCCAUGCCCACAGCAUGUGGAAAUUCCUAGACCAGGGAUGGAAACCAAGCCACAACAGCGACCCAAACCGCUGCAGUGACAGCACCAGAUCA
Molecule: long non-coding RNA, 1435 nt
Filed under: Sus scrofa (pig)
Lineage: Eukaryota; Metazoa; Chordata; Mammalia; Artiodactyla; Suidae
Description: lncRNA (ENSSSCG00065079043.1)
Source: RNAcentral